This 491-nucleotide ribosomal RNA is filed under the name uncultured bacterium. RNAcentral describes it as "partial 16S ribosomal RNA". It matches the Rfam family "Bacterial small subunit ribosomal RNA", at positions 29 to 507 of the family's 1533-position model. The record is from RNAcentral.
AGUGAACGCUGGCGGUAGGCCUAACACAUGCAAGUCGAACGGCAGCACAGUAAGAGCUUGCUCUUACGGGUGGCGAGUGGCGGACGGGUGAGGAAUACAUCGGAAUCUACCUUUUCGUGGGGGAUAACGUAGGGAAACUUACGCUAAUACGCAUACGACCUACGGGUGAAAGCAGGGGAUCUUCGGACCUUGCGCGAUUGAAUGAGCCGAUGUCGGAUUAGCUAGUUGGCGGGGUAAAGGCCCACCAAGGCGACGAUCCGUAGCUGGUCUGAGAGGAUGAUCAGCCACACUGGAACUGAGACACGGUCCAGACUCCUACGGGAGGCAGCAGUGGGGAAUAUUGGACAAUGGGCGCAAGCCUGAUCCAGCCAUACCGCGUGGGUGAAGAAGGCCUUCGGGUUGUAAAGCCCUUUUGUUGGGAAAGAAAAGCAGCAGGUUAAUACCCCGCUGUUCUGACGGUACCCAAAGAAUAAGCACCGGCUAACUUCGUG